CAAAAAGGGUCCCGAAAGGCAAUUUUCACUCUAAGGCAGCCAAGAAAGAACUACAAGAUUUGGAACAUAAUUUUGGAUUUCUUCUUUCAAGAAUUUAUUCAAUCUUACGAGGUAGGAUUACGAUGUGCAAGUGGUUCGUCUCGUUUAAAUUAUUUAUUCAUGUUGAUAAAUGUUAUACUCAUGAAAGUUAUGAUAUGAUUAUGAUAUUUUGAAAUAGCAACCCGGUACCAAAGAGAUGAUAUGAUACGACAUGAGCUCUUACCGGUUCUGAAGAUAUGAUAUGACGAUUAGAACGGGUCGUUGGUUGGCGAGCGGUGCGGUGGAAUUGUGAUGCCAGAAAUUAUGGAA
RNAcentral lists this long non-coding RNA (348 nucleotides) under Olea europaea subsp. europaea. The record is from RNAcentral. Lineage: Eukaryota; Viridiplantae; Streptophyta; Magnoliopsida; Lamiales; Oleaceae.